This 984-nucleotide ribosomal RNA is filed under the name Arthrobacter sp. Its description in RNAcentral is "bacterial SSU rRNA". It matches the Rfam family "Bacterial small subunit ribosomal RNA". The record is from RNAcentral. Lineage: Bacteria; Bacillati; Actinomycetota; Actinomycetes; Micrococcales; Micrococcaceae.
UUAGGUCUUUCUUUCACCUGGAUUCGGAUAUUGGGCGUAAGAGCUCGUAGGCGGUUUGUCGCGUCUGCUGUGAAAGACCGGGGCUCAACUCCGGUUCUGCAGUGGGUACGGGCAGACUAGAGUGCAGUAGGGGAGACUGGAAUUCCUGGUGUAGCGGUGAAAUGCGCAGAUAUCAGGAGGAACACCGAUGGCGAAGGCAGGUCUCUGGGCUGUAACUGACGCUGAGGAGCGAAAGCAUGGGGAGCGAACAGGAUUAGAUACCCUGGUAGUCCAUGCCGUAAACGUUGGGCACUAGGUGUGGGGGACAUUCCACGUUUUCCGCGCCGUAGCUAACGCAUUAAGUGCCCCGCCUGGGGAGUACGGCCGCAAGGCUAAAACUCAAAGGAAUUGACGGGGGCCCGCACAAGCGGCGGAGCAUGCGGAUUAAUUCGAUGCAACGCGAAGAACCUUACCAAGGCUUGACAUGAACCGGUAAUACCUGGAAACAGGUGCCCCGCUUGCGGUCGGUUUACAGGUGGUGCAUGGUUGUCGUCAGCUCGUGUCGUGAGAUGUUGGGUUAAGUCCCGCAACGAGCGCAACCCUCGUUCUAUGUUGCCAGCGCGUUAUGGCGGGGACUCAUAGGAGACUGCCGGGGUCAACUCGGAGGAAGGUGGGGACGACGUCAAAUCAUCAUGCCCCUUAUGUCUUGGGCUUCACGCAUGCUACAAUGGCCGGUACAAAGGGUUGCGAUACUGUGAGGUGGAGCUAAUCCCAAAAAGCCGGUCUCAGUUCGGAUUGGGGUCUGCAACUCGACCCCAUGAAGUCGGAGUCGCUAGUAAUCGCAGAUCAGCAACGCUGCGGUGAAUACGUUCCCGGGCCUUGUACACACCGCCCGUCAAGUCACGAAAGUUGGUAACACCCGAAGCCGGUGGCCUAACCCUUGUGGGGGGGAGCCCGUCGAAAGGUGGGACCGGCGAUUGGGACUAGGUCGUACAAAGGUAGCCC